CUAAGGAAUAUGUACAAAACCAGCAUAUUGUGAUCACUUUGCCACACAUUGCCACUGUGGAAUGCCCUAAAUUAUAUUAAUGGAAUUUGGUGAAUAUGUAAUGUGUUACAGGUAAAUGCUGUCCUGCAUUCAUUUGACCAAUUUAUUUUCUUCUUCUUUUUUUAUUUAUUUUUAAAAAAAAUUUAAAUUAUUUUUCAACUUUUGCAUUGAACAAAAGGCCAAUGUUCUAUUUGGAUAUGGUUUAUAAGACUGCUCAUUUUCAUGGUGUGGUCUUCCAUGAUAUCCGUAUUGCAAAGGUCAUUGUCAAAGUUAAUGAACAAAUAUACUGUUUAUUGUUUAACCCUUCUCUAGAUGAACAAGCAUGCCAACAGUUAAAUGUCCUUUUCUUUACGCUGAGCACUUCACUAAUGUGUUUAUUUUAAUGUGUUUGCUAGUUUAAAUCCAAAAACAUCAGUUAAGAUAAUUCUAAUUAUGUAGGGGGCAUGGUGGCUUAGUUAGCACGGUUGCUCCCUGUGCUUCAGAGGUUUCCCCCAGGUAGACUGGUUUCCUCCCCAGUCAUGUGUGUGCGAUUGUGCCCUGCGAGGGUUUGGUACCCCAUCCAAAGAGUCCCCUGGGAUAGGCUCCAAGCUCCCUGCAACCCUGUGUAGGAUAAACGACAAUCCAAUGCUAUUUUCAGGUUGUGGUGAGUAACAGAGACCAGGGACACAGGAUUUUUAUACUAGAUCACUAUACAGCGAGAGUUAUACUUCAUGGAGAACGAGAUGAAGUACAGAGAAACAGUCUCUCAAAGGUGGACUUUAAUGACUACGAAGGAAUGAUAAGUUUCCUGAAUGUCAACGGGAAUUAUUGGAUAUUUUUGGUGAAUACAUUUUAUAGUCCUUUUUUAAUAUAAAUGAGACACUGUUAUAUUACUCUAUUCUAUAGAGGAUGUUCAUAAUUUGGUUGGCUCGAAAAAUCACAUUGAAUAAAUGUUCAGAUGAGCAAAGACUAUUCAAACACCAACCAUCAAAAUUCAAAUAUAAACUAACCCGUACAAGGUCAUAUGCUCUUCACUGUGUCUACAUCCAUGAUUCCAUCCAUAAUUUUAACUUUCAGGCCAGACUUUUUCAAAUCGACCUCAAAGUUUUUCUUCAAAACUUUUUGUAGAUUCAUUCUAGUUUCAUCUAUUUAUUUAUUUAUUUAAUCUUGCACAGUAUUUCCAUGCAGCAUCCAGCCAGGUGUUUGUGGUAGACCCGGCAGGACAUGAUGAUGAAGCAAAAUCCAUGCAUGCAGCCACUAGAUUUCAGUAAUAUUUUUAGCUUGUUAUAUACUAUACUUACAAUAAUGGGUUACAAAUUAGAAAAAAAGCAUGACUACUUAGCCCCUAGUGUGAAGAGGCCCACUUCUUUUUGAUGUUUUCUUGUCCUGGGGUAUUGAAUGGUGAAUGAUAUGCUGUGUCCUUUUCCAUCACUGGAUCUUUAGUAAAUUAAACAAAAAAUUUGAUUUUGGACCAAACUGUCAGUACUCUCCAGUAUCAUCUUGAAAAUGUAAAAAUUUUGAAAUAUAUUUUGAAAAAAUUAUCUUCUAUCCCUCCUGUUGGUGUUCCAGAGACUUGGCAUAUAUCUUGCAGAUCUCUGGAUCCUUAACGAUUAUUUUCAUAAGAAUAAAAUGACUGGCUUCGAGUCUUUUUUACAUUUUGUAAAUAUACUAGUCUUCUCAUAAGGUUUUUUUUAAAUGCUGUCAAAUCCUUAUAAUAAUUGUACUUAUUUUCUUUUACUAUAAGUAGCAAGCAAUUCACAAUAAUUGUUAAGUGUAAAGUGAGUGAGAUAUGUAAAGACAAUAAUUACCAAAUACUACAUACAGUGCAUCCGGAAAGUAUUCACAGCGCUUCACUUUUUCCACAUUUUGUUAUGUUACAGCCUUAUUCCAAAAUGGAUUAAAUUCAUUAUUUUUCCUCAAAAUUCUACAAACAAUACCCCAUAAUUACAAUGUGAAAGAAGU
Molecule: long non-coding RNA, 1980 nt
Organism: Ictalurus furcatus (blue catfish)
Lineage: Eukaryota; Metazoa; Chordata; Actinopteri; Siluriformes; Ictaluridae
Exons: 3
Source: RefSeq, a predicted model, not a curated record